AUGACUGAUGCCAUUAUGACUGGAGCCUCUAGCAUUCAGUUUCUUAAGAGAUUUACCCUCCUGUCAGGGUUGGGUCUGGGGUCAUCUUUGGCUGCUUGGGAAAAAAGAGAUAACCAUGUUGGAGCUUUAAAAUUUCUUGAUCAUAGAAGACACUGA
RNAcentral lists this long non-coding RNA (156 nucleotides) under Mustela putorius furo (domestic ferret). RNAcentral describes it as "lncRNA (ENSMPUG00000025222.1)". The record is from RNAcentral. Lineage: Eukaryota; Metazoa; Chordata; Mammalia; Carnivora; Mustelidae.